CUGGAUAAUAUUUGACAAGUAGAACAAUCAUACAUUAUAUGGCGUGAUGGCCCUACAUCAAUGUACUGUGAUGAUCUUGAAUUAUCUGCAGCAUACCAAUGAAGACAUCAAGUCAUGAAAUGUAAAUAAUUCUUAACCACUGAAGUAUGAAGAGUGAAUGAUUACUUUGGCAAAUGCCUUAACUUUAUUAGAUGUUCUGGAGUCGUUAGGUUUUUGGUUUUCCACAUCCAUAUGGAGCCUUGAUACUUGCACUCUUUGAGUCUUGAGCCUUGCGUUAUAAGGAGUCCCACCAUCUAGUUGG
This 301-nucleotide long non-coding RNA is filed under the name Nicotiana tabacum (common tobacco). RNAcentral's name for it is "long non-coding RNA (NTAB_LNC000402)". The record is from RNAcentral. Lineage: Eukaryota; Viridiplantae; Streptophyta; Magnoliopsida; Solanales; Solanaceae.